RNAcentral lists this ribosomal RNA (408 nucleotides) under uncultured bacterium. RNAcentral describes it as "partial 16S ribosomal RNA". It matches the Rfam family "Bacterial small subunit ribosomal RNA", at positions 28 to 526 of the family's 1533-position model. The record is from RNAcentral.
GACGAACGCUGGCGGCGUGCUUAACACAUGCAAGUCGAACGAAGUGGCGUACGGGUUAGUAACGCGUAAUCAACCUGCCCUUCAGUGGGGUACAACAGUUGGAACCGACUGCUAAUACCGCAUACUGAAGUAGGGGAUUGCGUCUGAUUCGCUAGUUGGGGGGGUAACGGCCCACCAAGGCGAUGAUCAGUAGCCGGUCUGAGAGGAUGAACGGCCACAUUGGGACUGAGACACGGCCCCGACCCCUACCGGAGGCAGCAGGUGGGAAACUUCCGAAAUGGACGAAAGGCUGACGGAGCAACGCCGCGGGGGUGAUGACGGCCUUCGGGUUGUAAAGCUCUGUUAAUCGGGACGCGGUACCGGAAGAGAAAGCAACGGCUAACUACGUGCCAGCAGCCGCGGUAAUUC